AGGAGUGUAGCUCAGCUGGAAGAGCAGCGGUCUCCAAAACCGCAGGUCGCGGGUUCGAAUCCUGCCACUCCUGC
This 74-nucleotide transfer RNA is filed under the name subsurface metagenome. RNAcentral's name for it is "tRNA-Trp". It matches the Rfam family "tRNA". From Rfam's summary of the family: Transfer RNA (tRNA) molecules are approximately 80 nucleotides in length. The record is from RNAcentral.